RNAcentral lists this ribosomal RNA (253 nucleotides) under uncultured bacterium. Its description in RNAcentral is "partial 16S ribosomal RNA". It matches the Rfam family "Bacterial small subunit ribosomal RNA", at positions 524 to 776 of the family's 1533-position model. The record is from RNAcentral.
UACAGAGGUCUCGAGCGUUAGGCGGAAUCACUGGGCUUAAAGCGUGUGUAGGCGGGUCGGUAAGUACCUUGUGAAAUCCCAUGGCUCAACCAUGGAACUGCUUGGUAUACUGGCGAUCUUGUGCAACCUAGGGGCGAGCGGAACAGAUGGUGGAGCGGUGAAAUGCGCAGAUAUCAGGAGGAACACCAAUAGCGAAGGCAGCUCGCUGGGACGUUACUGACACUGAGGCGCGAAAGCGUGGGGAGCGAACAGG